CCUACGGGUGGCAGCAGUGAGGAAUAUUGGUCAAUGGGCGCGAGCCUGAACCAGCCAAGUCGCGUGAGGGAUGAAGGUUCUAUGGAUUGUAAACCUCUUUUAUAAGGGAAUAAAGUGUGGGACGUGUCCUAUGUGGUAUGUACCCUAUGAACAAGGAGCGGCCAACUCCGUGCCAGCAGCCGCGGUAAUACGGAGGAUCCGAGCGUUAUCCGGAUUUAUUGGGUUUAAAGGGUGCGUAGGCGGCCUUUUAAGUCAGCGGUGAAAGUCUGUGGCUCAACCAUAGAAUUGCCGUUGAAACUGGGGGGCUUGAGUAUGGUUGAGGCAGGCGGAAUGCGUGGUGUAGCGGUGAAAUGCUUAGAUAUCACGCAGAACCCCGAUUGCGAAGGCAGCCUGCCAAGCCAUGACUGACGCUGAUGCACGAAAGCGUGGGGAUCAAACAGGAUUAGAUACCCUUGUAGUC
This 460-nucleotide ribosomal RNA is filed under the name uncultured bacterium. RNAcentral describes it as "partial 16S ribosomal RNA". It matches the Rfam family "Bacterial small subunit ribosomal RNA", at positions 338 to 795 of the family's 1533-position model. The record is from RNAcentral.